This 793-nucleotide ribosomal RNA is filed under the name uncultured bacterium. RNAcentral's name for it is "bacterial SSU rRNA". It matches the Rfam family "Bacterial small subunit ribosomal RNA", at positions 9 to 795 of the family's 1533-position model. The record is from RNAcentral.
GAGUUUGAUCCUGGCUCAGAUUGAACGCUGGCGGCGUGCUUAACACAUGCAAGUCGAUCGGUAACAGGUGUAGCAAUACAUGCUGACGAGAGGCGGACGGGUGAGGAACGCUUGGGAAUCUGCCUAUCAGCGGGGGACAACCCGGGGAAACUCGGGCUAAUACCGCAUACGCUCUACGGAGGAAAGCCGGGGACCGCAAGGCCUGGCACUGAUAGAUGAGCCCAAGUCGGAUUAGCUAGUUGGCGGGGUAACGGCCCACCAAGGCGACGAUCCGUAGCUGGUCUGAGAGGACGAUCAGCCACACCGGAGCUGAGACACGGUCCGGACUCCUACGGGAGGCAGCAGUGGGGAAUAUUGGACAAUGGGGGAAACCCUGAUCCAGCGACGCCGCGUGGGUGAAGAAGGCCUGCGGGUUGUAAAGCCCUUUCGGUAGGGACGAAAACUCUUGCUCUAACAGGGCAGGAGCUUGACUUAACCUACAUAAGAAGCACCGGCUAACUCUGUGCCAGCAGCCGCGGUAAUACAGAGGGUGCGAGCGUUAAUCGGAAUUACUGGGCGUAAAGCGCACGUAGGCGGCUUUGUAAGUCGGUUGUGAAAUCCCCGGGCUCAACCUGGGAACUGCAUCCGAAACUACAUUGCUAGAGUAUGGGAGAGGGAGGCGGAAUUUCCGGUGUAGCAGUGAAAUGCGUAGAUAUCGGAAGGAACAUCAGUGGCGAAGGCGGCCUCCUGGACCAAUACUGACGCUCAGGUGCGAAAGCGUGNGGAGCAAACAGGAUUAGAUACCCUGGUAGUC